This 233-nucleotide long non-coding RNA is filed under the name Lathyrus oleraceus (garden pea). Its description in RNAcentral is "Pisum sativum (pea) long non-coding RNA (PSAT_LNC003564)". The record is from RNAcentral. Lineage: Eukaryota; Viridiplantae; Streptophyta; Magnoliopsida; Fabales; Fabaceae.
UUUUGACUGAAAAACAUCCAUUUAUUAAUGAUGCAGAAAUGCAAAUUUAAACAUGAGGUGGCCCUUACAAUGGACCAUUACGUGUCGGGCAACACAUAUGGCUUUCAUGCAGAUAAAACUGAAAACAAGAAACAUUACUCUUCCAGACGAGCGACAGUGAUGAUCUUUUUAGGCCUUCCAGCUUCCUGGUACGCACGAUCUUAUCCAUUGAUCAAUCUCCCAGUCACUGUCAG